UACGUAGGGUGCAAGCGUUGUUCGGAUUUAUUGGGCGUAAAGCGCGUGUAGGCGGUCUCUUAAGUCUGAUGUGAAAGCCCUGGGCUCAACCUGGGAACUGCAUUCGAGACUGCAUUGCUAGAGUAUGGGAGAGGGAAGUGGAAUUUCAGGUGUAGCGGUGAAAUGCGUAGAUAUCUGAAGGAACAUCAGUGGCGAAAGCGACUUCCUGGGCCAAUACUGACGCUCAUGUGCGAAAGCGUGGGGAGCAAACAGG
Molecule: ribosomal RNA, 253 nt
Filed under: uncultured bacterium
Lineage: Bacteria
Description: partial 16S ribosomal RNA
Rfam family: Bacterial small subunit ribosomal RNA
Source: RNAcentral